RNAcentral lists this ribosomal RNA (393 nucleotides) under uncultured bacterium. Its description in RNAcentral is "partial 16S ribosomal RNA". It matches the Rfam family "Bacterial small subunit ribosomal RNA", at positions 523 to 918 of the family's 1533-position model. The record is from RNAcentral.
AUACGGAGGAUCCGAGCGUUAUCCGGAUUUAUUGGGUUUAAAGGGAGCGUAGGUGGAUUGUUAAGUCAGUUGUGAAAGUUUGCGGCUCAACCGUAAAAUUGCAGUUGAAACUGGCAGUCUUGAGUACAGUAGAGGUGGGCGGAAUUCGUGGUGUAGCGGUGAAAUGCUUAGAUAUCACGAAGAACUCCGAUUGCGAAGGCAGCUCACUAGACUGUUACUGACACUGAUGCUCGAAAGUGUGGGUAUCAAACAGGAUUAGAUACCCUGGUAGUCCACACAGUAAACGAUGAAUACUCGCUGUUUGCGAUACACAGUAAGCGGCCAAGCGAAAGCAUUAAGUAUUCCACCUGGGGAGUACGCCGGCAACGGUGAAACUCAAAGGAAUUGACGGGG